This 535-nucleotide long non-coding RNA is filed under the name Homo sapiens (human). RNAcentral's name for it is "non-protein coding lnc-PDCD11-2:2". Lineage: Eukaryota; Metazoa; Chordata; Mammalia; Primates; Hominidae. The record is from RNAcentral.
CCUUUCUGCCUGGCAUGGAUGGUGAUCCUUCUGUCCAGUCUACGCUGGCCAUGCUGGCCCUGAGGCCUGGAACUGGGGAGCACGAGCAGGAUGACAUCUCCAGUGUCUGUCUGGGUCACCUGUUAGCGGAUGAGAAGUCCAGCCUUACUGCCUGUUCUCCACCUGCAUUUAGGCUUCAUCCCUGGAAUGUCACCUUCUGUCUUCUGGAAAACGUCUAGGCUCUGCUGCCAUACAGAACCCUUCUGCUUCCUUAAGGAGACGGUCCACUGUCCCCUUGUCUUCUCUCCUCUAAGCAAGAGGGGCCCCUGCCCGUUGCCCUUUCCUGGAUGGAGCAUGAGUUUUGAUGUCAGGCAGGUCUGGGUUUGAAGCCUCGUUUGUCUUGCCUUCAGAAUAACCUCUCUAAGCCUCAGUUUUAUAGCCCGAAAAUGGGGGUGAUUAUAACUCCUGAAGGGAAGUUUUGGGAUUGGCUGAUACAUAAGAUACUUAGCACAGUGCCUGGCACACAGUAAGCGAUCAAUAAAUGGUAGCAUUUAUA